UCGUGUGACGCAGACAACGUUUGAACGCUGCAGGACAGAUAUUUUAAAGAUAACAACGAGAACCUUUGUAUGUAUAACAGCUUGAUAUAAAGGAAAAAAUGACGUCUGCCAUUCAGAAGAUGGUUUUCAACUUGCCCAGGAAAUUGACUACAACUUGUAAACUGUCAGUGUAAAUCCAAACGCACAUACAAGACAAAUAUCCACAACUGCAAGUGACAACAGUUACAGGCUAUACAAAAAUCAGUGCCAAUAACGAUCAUGGGGACUGAGCCAUUUGAAGUUGGAUGAAAGAUGAUCUGCAUCAUUGUGUUUAUGAUAAUGUGGAAAAGUACCAAUUGUUUUGAGAAUUGGUUCCACAGAUGUCAGUGAAAGAGACUUACGACUUAAUGUACAUGUUUUUGAACAGAACUAUUAAAAAGAAAAAUGGUGCAAAAUCAAUUGAAUCUGGUCACAAGAGAUAUGGAGACCUCGAGAGACAGAAAAAGAACAGACCAGGGAAUCACAGAUCCAUAUCAGAUAAUAAAAUUAAAUUGAAAAUUUAAAGUUUGAAUUUUAUGUUAUUGAAACUAUUAAUUUACAAACUUCCUGAAAAUUUGGAUUUUAUUUAUUAUUGAAUAGAGGCUAAGGGUAUUUGACCAUCAUCAAUGUGCUUACACAUUGAUUUUCAUUCAACUUUAAGAACUUCUUUUUAGGUUUUUAGGGGAAUAUCUGUUGUAUAAGUUACAAAGUUUUGUAUGGAUAUCCACAUUCUGAAUGUUUUCUGAAUAUAUUUCUGAAUCUGUCUGAAUCCAUCUGAAUGUUGUCUGGAUAUUUCUGAAUGUUAUCUGGAUAUUUUUGAAUGUGUCUGAUUAUUUCUUAAUCUUUCUGAUUAAAUUCAGAUUUUUCUGAAUUCAUUCUGAAUAUUGCCUUAAUUCAUUCUUACAUAAUUCUGAUUUUUGUCUGAAUGCUAUUCUGAUUUUUGUCUGAAUGGUUUUCUGAUUCCUGUCUGAAUGUGCGAAUGAAAAUUCUGAAUUUUUCCAUAAUAGUCCGAAAUCCAGUAAAAAUUCAGACAUUUGCAUUAAUGAACACAUUUUUAGCUAUUCAGACAUUAUUCAGAAAAAAAUAAGAAAAAUUAAGAAUACUUGUCAGACAGAAUUCAGACACUAUUUUUUCA
Long non-coding RNA from Mytilus trossulus (common blue mussel), 1153 nucleotides. RefSeq lists it as uncharacterized. NCBI's taxonomy places the organism in Eukaryota, Metazoa, Mollusca, Bivalvia, Mytilida, Mytilidae. The transcript is spliced from 4 exons. The record is from RefSeq and is a predicted model, not a curated record.